GAAGAGCAAAGAGGACUCACUUUGGCUUGGAUGACAUUUAUGGCCUGCAAGCAGCUCAUGGAUAGGAAAAGGCAGCAUGCUGUUCUCUGUAGGAUGUACAAUCUGAAACAAUUUUAUCAGAAAUACUAGAUAGAAAUCUUUAUAAGCUGGAGUUCAACAACUGGGUGGUUUUAUCUUAGAGGCAAAAGAACUAAAAAACAAACCCACUACUUUUAAAAUCUGCCAUAUGCACAGUAACUUGCAGUUAAUAAUUAAAUUCUCACAAUAUCCUUUCACAGUUCCAGGCAGACCAUAUUGGCUCAGGUUGGCCUGGUUGUCGAGUGUGAACUGAAAUGAUUUCUAACAGCUAUCAAAUACAUUUUGAAAUAUGCACAUAAAAAUCCUAGCUCAGAGGCUCAAAGCAAUAAUGAUUCAUGUAUUGGCAAAUGAACCUGUCCUCUGCAAGCUAGCCCCUGAAAUGUAAUAAGGGGUCAGUCCAAGGAAAUAAAAAAAGUGUGUUUAUUAAGAUGUAGAGAGGUAAUAUUUUGGGAUGGGAGUUUGUGGUGACAUAUUCAACAUCUAGUGAUUGAGGUAUUGGGCUGGCCUCCAGAAGUCAGUCUUUGUCAAGGGUGCCUUUAUCAAAUCUAUAUCCAUGGAGGGAUUUAGGCAAUGUACUUGCCAGAAUUCUUCUGUCCCUUGGUGGUACCCAAGGGAAGCUCUUUGCCCCCAGUAUAAGCAAGACCAGGACACAGAAAAGGUGAGAACAGCUGUCUUGUAUCUCCUGUGCUGUGAAGAUGCUCAGGAAAGGGCUGUGUAUGAGACCUGGGAGAUUUCAGAUAAAUAACACAACUGCCUUCUGCUACCACUUCUGGACAUGUCCAAAUACACUCUGAAGAGAUUAUGAAUUAAAAAAAAAAUUAGUAAUAAUCUCCCCUGGAGCCUAAUGGCAUGAGCAGUGGCUAGACACUGCUUUUCUUGCUUGUUUUGAGCAUGAAACAGGGGCCAGAUUCUCUCUCCCCAUGAAUGCUCAUUACCUGGGACUCAGAAGGGCUCACAGGGCUGGGACUUUGACUUGGUGAGCCACAGAAAUCUGGGGACACAGGCAGCCCCUGGGUUAGGCUCUACCACCAUUUAUUCCUGUGCUCUCACACAGAGCACCAUCAGUAAGAAAAUGGGAGAAAGAGAGGAGCAGCAGUGUGGAGGAAAAAUCAGUAAGGACUCAGGUAUUUUAUGGGAGCAGAACAGCCUUAAAUAAAUAUCUGCACAGAACCCCACUCCUUGCAUCUGAGAUGCUGGUCCAUUUUAUCCCACUGGUUUUAAUUUGUGGCCUGAGGCUGCUCAGCUAAGUGGCAUUUAGUGACUCAGGGAUGAAGGGGACAGCAGUGCAGCCUGCAGACUCCUGAGAGCCGUGACCUUUCCCAGCACCGUGUAGAAAAGCUGCCGAUCUCACGAAGAAUGAACAAAUCUGGGUGCCGCGGGCAGAAACCGGCACUGCCACCAUCUGCAGAAGUGUCACUUCAUUAACCCCAGGAGUUCAGUGUUUGCUCAAGUACAAAGGCUGCUGGCAAUAUGGGAAGGUGAAUGUCCAGGACACCAGGAUGCCCAGAUGCCAUUGAGACAAAAUAUGUGUGAGUAUAAUAUGAAAAACAACAUCUUUGCCAGGCUGAUAGUGGAAUGAGACAGACAUCCCUGAUUCAAGCUCU
Cyanistes caeruleus (blue tit) is the source of this 1682-nucleotide non-coding RNA. Lineage: Eukaryota; Metazoa; Chordata; Aves; Passeriformes; Paridae. The record is from RefSeq and is a predicted model, not a curated record.